GUCCACACUGUAAACGAUGAUAACUAGAUGUUCGGGAGUAAUCCUGAGUGUUCAAGCGAAAGCGAUAAGUUAUCCACCUGGGGAGUACGACCGCAAGGUUGAAACUCAAAGGAAUUGACGGGGCCCGCACAAGCGGUGGAGCAUGUGGUUUAAUUCGAUGAUACGCGAGGAACCUUACCUAGGCUAGAAUGUGAGUGAAUGAUAGUGAAAGCUGUCAGUCCUUCGGACGACGAAACAAAGGUAGCUGCAUGGUUGUCGU
RNAcentral lists this ribosomal RNA (259 nucleotides) under uncultured bacterium. Its description in RNAcentral is "partial 16S ribosomal RNA". It matches the Rfam family "Bacterial small subunit ribosomal RNA", at positions 793 to 1055 of the family's 1533-position model. The record is from RNAcentral.